UGUUUGAGUCCAGGAAUCAGCACCUGCUGUAAGCCUACUGGACACUGGAUACUUUCUAUCUUGCCCCAGAAAUGAUAAGAAUCGAACAAUUACUACAAAUUAAAGUGCCGACAUCCAAGGCUACCAACCACUGGCUGACACAGAAAAUGAAAUGGAACCUCCUCUCUAGUCCAUGGACAGAAUAAAGAAAACAUUAUAUGUUUUUAGGCAGGACCCCUACCUUUCAUCAGCAUGGAAACAGCCAUGGAAGAUGAAUUAUUAGUCUUCUGCACCCAAAAAGAUUUCUGGGACAAUUUUUACUGAUGAAUUAAGACCAGAGAAGAAUAGAGUGGAGAGGCAUAUUUCAGAGAUUAACAUAUAAAAAACAUCAGUAUAGAAAAAGUAGAGUCCUUUAGCCCCCAUUGGCUUCAUUCAACUAAAGGAGUAUAAUGUAAAAGGCCCACCUCAUUAUAUAAACCUUAGAGAGACAAGUAUAAGUGACCCCAAAAAAGGUCAUGCAGCUCUCCCUCUCCACUCUUUCUCUUAGAGUCAGGCCACAGGCUAGGUCUGGUGCACCUCCUUUAAUAAAAUAUCUCCUUUCCAGUAAGUA
Molecule: long non-coding RNA, 589 nt
Organism: Mastomys coucha (southern multimammate mouse)
Lineage: Eukaryota; Metazoa; Chordata; Mammalia; Rodentia; Muridae
Exons: 2
Source: RefSeq, a predicted model, not a curated record